RNAcentral lists this transfer RNA (80 nucleotides) under Podoviridae sp. ctn7K25. Its description in RNAcentral is "tRNA-OTHER". Lineage: Duplodnaviria; Heunggongvirae; Uroviricota; Caudoviricetes. The record is from RNAcentral.
GCCGCAGAUAGGCUGCUAAUCGGAUAGGCAGCACGGAUUAAAGGCUUAGGCAUUGGUGGGUUCGACUCCCACCUGCGGCA